Molecule: ribosomal RNA, 500 nt
Filed under: uncultured bacterium
Lineage: Bacteria
Description: partial 16S ribosomal RNA
Rfam family: Bacterial small subunit ribosomal RNA
Source: RNAcentral
AUUGAACGCUGGCGGAAUGCUUUACACAUGCAAGUCGAACGGCAGCACGGACUUCGGUCUGGUGGCGAGUGGCGAACGGGUGAGUAAUGUAUCGGAACGUGCCCAGUCGUGGGGGAUAACGUAGUGAAAAUUACGCUAAUACCGCAUACGAUCUAUGGAUGAAAGCGGGGGAUCGCAAGACCUCGCGCGAUUGGAGCGGCCGAUAUCAGAUUAGGUAGUUGGUGGGGUAAAGGCCCACCAAGCCAACGAUCUGUAGCUGGUCUGAGAGGACGACCAGCCACACUGGAACGGAGACACGGUCCAGACUCCUACGGGAGUCAGCAGUGGGGAAUUGUGGACAAUGGGCGAAAGCCUGAUCCAGCCAUUCCGCGUGCAGGAUGAAGGCCCUCGGGUUGUAAACUGCUUUUGUACAGAACGAAAAGGUUUCUACUAAUACUAGGAGCUCAUGACGGUACUGUAAGAAUAAGCACCGGCUAACUACGUGCCAGCCGCCGCAGUAA